This 374-nucleotide ribosomal RNA is filed under the name uncultured bacterium. Its description in RNAcentral is "bacterial SSU rRNA". It matches the Rfam family "Bacterial small subunit ribosomal RNA", at positions 527 to 898 of the family's 1533-position model. The record is from RNAcentral.
GUAGGGUGCGAGCGUUGUCCGGAAUUAUUGGGCGUAAAGAGCUCGUAGGCGGCCUGUCGCGUCGGAUGUGAAAGCCCGGGGCUUAACCCCGGGUCGGCAUUCGAUACGGGCAGGCUAGAGUGUGGUAGGGGAGAUCGGAAUUCCUGGUGUAGCGGUGAAAUGCGCAGAUAUCAGGAGGAACACCGGUGGCGAAGGCGGAUCUCUGGGCCAUUACUGACGCUGAGGAGCGAAAGCGUGGGGAGCGAACAGGAUUAGAUACCCUGGUAGUCCACGCCGUAAACGUUGGGAACUAGGUGUUGGCGACAUUCCACGUCGUCGGUGCCGCAGCUAACGCAUUAAGUUCCCCGCCUGGGGAGUACGGCCGCAAGGCUAAA